UACGUAGGGACCAAGCGUUGUUCGGAUUUACUGGGCGUAAAGGGCGCGUAGGCGGCUUGACAAGUCACUUGUGAAAUCUCCGGGCUUAACUCGGAACGGCCAAGUGAAACUGUCAAGCUAGAGUGCAGAAGGGGCAAUCGGAAUUCUUGGUGUAGCGGUGAAAUGCGUAGAUAUCAAGAGGAACACCUGAGGUGAAGACGGGUUGCUGGGCUGACACUGACGCUGAGGCGCGAAAGCUAGGGGAGCGAACAGG
Molecule: ribosomal RNA, 253 nt
Filed under: uncultured bacterium
Lineage: Bacteria
Description: partial 16S ribosomal RNA
Rfam family: Bacterial small subunit ribosomal RNA
Source: RNAcentral